RNAcentral lists this unclassified non-coding RNA (260 nucleotides) under Fusarium acutatum. Its description in RNAcentral is "sequence contains 5.8S rRNA gene". The stretch from base 1 to 53 matches the Rfam family "5.8S ribosomal RNA", at positions 102 to 154 of the family's 154-position model. Lineage: Eukaryota; Fungi; Ascomycota; Sordariomycetes; Hypocreales; Nectriaceae. The record is from RNAcentral.
GAACGCACAUUGCGCCCGCCAGUAUUCUGGCGGGCAUGCCUGUUCGAGCGUCAUUUCAACCCUCAAGCCCUCGGGUUUGGUGUUGGGGAUCGGCGAGCCUUUCUGGCAAGCCGGCCCCGAAAUCUAGUGGCGGUCUCGCUGCAGCCUCCAUUGCGUAGUAGUAAAACCCUCGCAACUGGAACGCGGCGCGGCCAAGCCGUUAAACCCCCAACUUCUGAAUGUUGACCUCGGAUCAGGUAGGAAUACCCGCUGAACUUAAG